Long non-coding RNA from Melanotaenia boesemani (Boeseman's rainbowfish), 596 nucleotides. RefSeq lists it as uncharacterized. The transcript has 2 exons. NCBI's taxonomy places the organism in Eukaryota, Metazoa, Chordata, Actinopteri, Atheriniformes, Melanotaeniidae. The record is from RefSeq and is a predicted model, not a curated record.
CUUUGUGUAGUAAUUCUGUAAAAUUAGCUCAAAAUGUUUUCAGUGGACGCAUGCUUCUUUCUCGGUGUGGAGAGAAUGGAAAUUCGGAAGAGCUGAAGGAAGAACACAGACAUUUACAUAUAAUUUGACAUGACAAAUGCCAGUUGGAUCAACUCAGCACAUGUAGAUUCAUGGGGGCAUAGUAAUGAGAGGUACUCUGGAAAACUGGCUGAGUCAAGUUAUAGAAUAUUUAUUUUCUUUGUUUGUGUUUUUUUCUUUUACAUUUGUGCUCCUCUUACACAUUAGUGAUGUGCCACGUGCGAAAGAGCCGGCUCUGAGAGCCGAUGCUUUGGAGUGAAUCAGAAGAGCUGGCUCCCAUCAAGUGAGAGCCAGCUCCCAGUUUUUUUUUUUUUCUCCUUUUGCUGCGUGUUUCGCUCUCAGGGCUCGGCCUCAGCUCUGCCCUCAGUAAUGCUUUGUUUGGAUUGGCCUGCAUGGACAGGCGGUCAAAAACAUGUGUGGAUAUAGGAUCUUACCAUUUAGUUUGGUUCUCGUUCUGUUUUGUGAAUUUGUUUGCUGUUUUUUGUUCACUUGUGCAAUACAGGAUUUUUGUUGAAAUA